RNAcentral lists this ribosomal RNA (252 nucleotides) under uncultured bacterium. Its description in RNAcentral is "partial 16S ribosomal RNA". It matches the Rfam family "Bacterial small subunit ribosomal RNA", at positions 524 to 775 of the family's 1533-position model. The record is from RNAcentral.
GACAGAGGGUGCAAACGUUGUUCGGAAUUACUGGGCGUAAAGCGAGUGUAGGCGGUUCGAUAAGUCGGAUGUGAAAGCCCCGGGCUCAACCCGGGAAGUGCACUCGAUACUGUCGAGCUAGAGUAUCGGAGAGGUUGGUGGAAUUCUCGGUGUAGAGGUGAAAUUCGUAGAUAUUCGCAAGAACACCAGUGGCGAAGGCGGCUCACUGGCCCGGUACUGACGCUGAGGUGCGAAAGCGUGGGGAGCAAGACG